CAACUCACUGCCAAUUUGCUUGACAUCAUGGGAAAAUCUGAAGAAAUCAACCAAGACCUCAGAAGAAGAAAUAAUGUGGACCUCCACAAGUCUGGUUCAUUCCUGGGCACAAUUUCCAAAUGCCUGAAGGUACCACGUUCAUCCGUACAAAAAAAUAUUACUCAAGUAUAAACACCAUGGGACCACGUAGCCGUCCACCGCUCAGGAGGGAGACGCGUUCUGUCUUCUAGAGAUGAAUGUGCUUUGGUGCGAAAAGUGCAAAUCAAUCCCAGAACAAAAGGACAUCGUGAAGAUGAUGCUGGGGAAAACGGAUCUUUAUAUUAUAACCAUUCACUGGAAAAUAACACGCUCAUUACUUUAAACAUGGAAAUGAGGUCAGGAGGCUGCAGUGACUUGCUAGAGCCACGCUGCAGCAAAGAUGCUCCUGCCAUGGAGUAUCGCCUGAGAAAAAGUGCAUUGAAAGCCGGGAUGCUGACAGAAGAAUGAGGAGCAGGGUGCGGGGCCGACAGGGAUGGCCUCCAGCACUGCAGAUGGGCCACAGACAGCUUGCAUGUUGUAGGCCUACAAAUGAGAAAGUAGCGAGAUACACAAUACACAUUUGAAAAUGUGUUUUGUGAUUUUAUCUCUAUGGGAUUCUUACAACUGUAUUUGCCAUUCCACUGUACAUUUAUUAGGUAUUUAUUAGACUUUUUUUUUCUUGUGUUCUUCUGCUGCCAUAACCUAUCCAUUUACAGAUUUGAUACAUUGCAGUUCAGAGAUGCUGUUCUGCAUACCACUGUUAUAAUGUGUGCUUAUUUGCGUUACUGUCACCUUCCUGUCUGCUUUGAUCACUCUAUAUGUAUAUAUAUAUAUUUUUUUAAAUUUUAACUAACUUUUCAACUGAUUCACACAGUUUUAUGUAU
Conger conger (European conger) is the source of this 902-nucleotide long non-coding RNA. RefSeq lists it as uncharacterized. The transcript is spliced from 3 exons. The record is from RefSeq and is a predicted model, not a curated record. Lineage: Eukaryota; Metazoa; Chordata; Actinopteri; Anguilliformes; Congridae.